AGAGUUUGAUCAUGGCUCAGAUUGAACGCUGGCGGCAUGCUUAAUACAUGCAAGUCGAACGGUAACAGAUUCUUCGGAAUGCUGACGAGUGGCGGACGGGUGAGUAAUACAUAGGAAUCUGACCAUGUAGUGGGGGACAACUUGGGGAAACUCAAGCUAAUACCGCAUAAUUCCUACGGGAUAAAGAGGGCCACUGCUUGCAAGCUCUUGCUACUGGAUGAGCCUAUGUCGGAUUAGUUAGUUGGUAAGGUAAUGGCUUACCAAGACAGCGAUCUGUAGCUGGUUUGAGAGGAUGAUCAGCCACACUGGGACUGAGACACGGCCCAGACUCCUACGGGAGGCAGCAGUAGGGAGUAUUGGACAAUGGGCGCAAGCCUGAUCCAGCAAUGCCGCGUGUGUGAAGAAGGCCUGCGGGUUGUAAAGCACUUUCAAUUGGGAAGAAAGAUUAUGAGUUAAUACCUUAUAAUAUUGACG
RNAcentral lists this ribosomal RNA (474 nucleotides) under uncultured bacterium. RNAcentral's name for it is "bacterial SSU rRNA". It matches the Rfam family "Bacterial small subunit ribosomal RNA", at positions 8 to 474 of the family's 1533-position model. The record is from RNAcentral.